Molecule: transfer RNA, 69 nt
Filed under: Cottus beldingii (Paiute sculpin)
Lineage: Eukaryota; Metazoa; Chordata; Actinopteri; Perciformes; Cottidae
Also listed under: 1 other name
Description: tRNA-Ala
Rfam family: tRNA
About the family: Transfer RNA (tRNA) molecules are approximately 80 nucleotides in length. Their secondary structure includes four short double-helical elements and three loops (D, anti-codon, and T loops).
Source: RNAcentral
AAGGCUUUAGCUUAAUUAAAGUGUCUGCUUUGCAUGCAGGAGAUGUGGGAUAAUGUCCUGCAAGUCUUA